UUGAACGCUAGCGGGAUGCUUUACACAUGCAAGUCGAACGGCAGCGCGGACUUCGGUCUGGCGGCGAGUGGCGAACGGGUGAGUAAUGUAUCGGAACGUGCCCAGUAGCGGGGGAUAACUACGCGAAAGCGUAGCUAAUACCGCAUACGCCCUACGGGGGAAAGCAGGGGAUCGUAAGACCUUGCACUAUUGGAGCGGCCGAUAUCGGAUUAGCUAGUUGGUGAGGUAACGGCUCACCAAGGCGACGAUCCGUAGCUGGUUUGAGAGGACGACCAGCCACACUGGGACUGAGACACGGCCCCGACUCCCAAGGGAGGCAGCCGGGGGGAAUUUUUGACAAUGGGGGCAACCCUGAUCCAGCCAUCCCGCGUGUGCGAUGAAGGCCUUCGGGUUGUAAAGCACUUUUGGCAGGAAAGAAACGUCGCGGGCUAAUACCCCGUGGAACUGACGGUACCUGCAGAAUAAGCACCGGCUAACUACGUG
This 483-nucleotide ribosomal RNA is filed under the name uncultured bacterium. RNAcentral's name for it is "partial 16S ribosomal RNA". It matches the Rfam family "Bacterial small subunit ribosomal RNA", at positions 30 to 507 of the family's 1533-position model. The record is from RNAcentral.